ACCACCUCCUUUCCGUUUGAACAAUGGGGGGACGCAGUAAGGUAGGGUGAGCGCACUGAUGGAAUAGUGCGUCUAAGCAGUUAGGCUGUUGGGUAGGCAAAUCCGCCCAACGUGAAGGCUGAGCUGUGAUGGCGAGGGAAAUUUUAGUACCGAAGUCCCUGAUCCUACACUGCCAAGAAAAGCCUCUAGUGAGGAAAGAGGUGCCCGUACCGCAAACCGACACAGGUAGGCGAGGAGAGAAUCCUAAGAUGAUCGGGAGAACUCUCGUUAAGGAACUCGGCAAAAUGACCCCGUAACUUCGGGAGAAGGGGUGCUCUGAUAGGGUUUAUCGCCCGAGAGAGCCGCAGUGAAUAGAUCCAAGCGACUGUUUAGCAAAAACACAGGUCUCUGCGAAACCGCAAGGUGAAGUAUAGGGGCUGACACCUGCCCGGUGCUGGAAGGUUAAGAGGAGGGGUUAUCCUUUGGGAGAAGCUCUGAAUUGAAGCCCCAGUAAACGGCGGCCGUAACUAUAACGGUCCUAAGGUAGCGAAAUUCCUUGUCGGGUAAGUUCCGACCCGCACGAAAGGUGUAACGACUUGGAUACUGUCUCAACGAGAGACCCGGUGAAAUUAUAGUACCUGUGAAGAUGCAGGUUACCCGCGACAGGACGGAAAGACCCCAUGGAGCUUUACUGCAACUUGAUAUUGGAUUUUGGUACAGCUUGUACAGGAUAGGUAGGAGCCUGAGAAGCCGGAGCGCCAGCUUCGGUGGAGGCGUCGGUGGGAUACUACCCUGGCUGUAUUGAAAUUCUAACCUUGGACCGUAAUCCGGUUCGGAGACAGUGUCAGGUGGGCAGUUUGACUGGGGCGGUCGCCUCCUAAACAGUAACGGAGGCGCCC
RNAcentral lists this ribosomal RNA (878 nucleotides) under Pseudotabrizicola alkalilacus. RNAcentral describes it as "Tabrizicola sp. DJC partial 23S ribosomal RNA". It matches the Rfam family "Bacterial large subunit ribosomal RNA", at positions 1443 to 2311 of the family's 2925-position model. Lineage: Bacteria; Pseudomonadati; Pseudomonadota; Alphaproteobacteria; Rhodobacterales; Paracoccaceae. The record is from RNAcentral.